GACGAAAGUCUGACCGAGCAACGCCGCGUGAGUGAAGAAGGUUUUCGGAUCGUAAAGCUCUGUUGUAAGUCAAGAACGUGUGUGAGAGUGGAAAGUUCACACAGUGACGGUAGCUUACCAGAAAGGGACGGCUAACUACGUGCCAGCAGCCGCGGUAAUACGUAGGUCCCGAGCGUUGUCCGGAUUUAUUGGGCGUAAAGGGAGCGCAGGCGGUCAGGAAAGUCUGGAGUAAAAGGCUAUGGCUCAACCAUAGUGUGCUCUGGAAACUGUCUGACUUGAGUGCAGAAGGGGAGAGUGGAAUUCCAUGUGUAGCGGUGAAAUGCGUAGAUAUAUGGAGGAACACCAGUGGCGAAAGCGGCUCUCUGGUCUGUCACUGACGCUGAGGCUCGAAAGCGUGGGUAGCGAACAGGAUUAGAUACCCUGGUAGUCCACGCCGUAAACGAUGAGUGCUAGGUGUUAGGCCCUUUCCGGGGCUUAGUGCCGGAGCUAACGCAAUAAGCACUCCGCCUGGGGAGUACGACCGCAAGGUUGAAACUCAAAGGAAUUGACGGGGGCCCGCACAAGCGGUGGAGCAUGUGGUUUAAUUCGAAGCAACGCGAAGAACCU
RNAcentral lists this ribosomal RNA (606 nucleotides) under Streptococcus mutans. Its description in RNAcentral is "bacterial SSU rRNA". It matches the Rfam family "Bacterial small subunit ribosomal RNA", at positions 374 to 971 of the family's 1533-position model. The record is from RNAcentral. Lineage: Bacteria; Bacillati; Bacillota; Bacilli; Lactobacillales; Streptococcaceae.